AGAGUUUGAUCCUGGCUCAGGAUGAACGCUAGCGGCAGGCUUAACACAUGCAAGUCGAGGGGCAGCGGGGAGGAAGCUUGCUUUCUCCGCCGGCGACCGGCGCACGGGUGAGUAACACGUAUGCAACCUGCCCCUGUCAGGGGGACAACCCGCCGAAAGGCGGGCUAAACCCGCGUACAUGCCACCGGGGUAUCCCGGAGGCAGGAAAGGCUUCGGCCGGACAGGGAUGGGCAUGCGGCGCAUUAGGCAGUAGGCGGGGUAACGGCCCACCUAACCGACGAUGCGUAGGGGUUCUGAGAGGAAGGUCCCCCACACUGGUACUGAGACACGGACCAGACUCCUACGGGAGGCAGCAGUGAGGAAUAUUGGUCAAUGGUCGGGAGACUGAACCAGCCAAGCCGCGUGAGGGAUGAAGGUACAGAGUAUCGUAAACCUCUUUUGUCAGGGAACAAAGGCGGGGACGCGUCCCCGGAUGAGUGUACCUGAAGAAAAAGCAUCGGCUAACUCCGUGCCAGCAGCCGCGGUAAUACGGAGGAUGCGAGCGUUAUCCGGAUUUAUUGGGUUUAAAGGGUGCGCAGGCGGUUUGUUAAGUCAGCGGUCAAAGCCCGGGGCUCAACCCCGGCCCGCCGUUGAAACUGGCAGUCUCGAGUUGGAGAGAAGUAUGCGGAAUGCGCGGUGUAGCGGUGAAAUGCAUAGAUAUCGCGCAGAACUCCGAUUGCGAAGGCAGCAUGCCGGCUCCACACUGACGCUGAGGCACGAAAGCGUGGGUAUCGAACAGGAUUAGAUACCCUGGUAGUCCACGCAGUAAACGAUGAAUGCUGGCUGUCCGGGGGGACUGACCCCUGGGUGGCGAAGCGAAAGCGAUAAGCAUUCCACCUGGGGAGUACGCCGGCAACGGUGAAACUCAAAGGAAUUGACGGGGGCCCGCACAAGCGGAGGAACAUGUGGUUUAAUUCGAUGAUACGCGAGGAACCUUACCCGGGCUCAAACGGGGAGUGGCGCAGGCAGAGACGCCUGUUUCCCACGGGACACUCCCCGAGGUGCUGCAUGGUUGUCGUCAGCUCGUGCCGUGAGGUGUCGGCUUAAGUGCCAUAACGAGCGCAACCCCCGCGUGCAGUUGCUAACAGUCAACGCUGAGGACUCUGCACGGACUGCCGGCGCAAGCCGCGAGGAAGGCGGGGAUGACGUCAAAUCAGCACGGCCCUUACGUCCGGGGCGACACACGUGUUACAAUGGGUGGUACAGCGGGAAGCCAGGCGGCGACGCCGAGCGGAACCCGAAAUCCACUCUCAGUUCGGAUCGGAGUCUGCAACCCGACUCCGUGAAGCUGGAUUCGCUAGUAAUCGCGCAUCAGCCAUGGCGCGGUGAAUACGUUCCCGGGCCUUGCACUCACCGCCCGUCAAG
This 1404-nucleotide ribosomal RNA is filed under the name uncultured bacterium. RNAcentral's name for it is "partial 16S ribosomal RNA". It matches the Rfam family "Bacterial small subunit ribosomal RNA". The record is from RNAcentral.